UGCAGAGGUAAAAUCCUGCCUAAAAGUGGAUUUACAAUUUAAAAAUCGAUUUGUUAAAAAUUAUAUAGGUAGGCCUACUGUAUGACUAUCCCCUUAUUGGAAAUGCAUUGUUUGUAAUUCUUAUAUCAACAGAACAACAGAUUGAUGGGGAAACACUACUGGGACUAACAGAGCGGAUGGUAGAAAAACUGUUUCCCAUCAUGAAACACCAGGUCUUGUUUUUGAAAGAGUUGGAGAAGUUGCGCAGCACAUCAUCAGCACAAAAAUCCAAUCCAACAUGUGACACACUACCUGUAGAGUCAAAUACUCAUCAACAAGCUCAUGUGUCAUGGCCAGCACUGUAUACCCUGCCUGUUAUGCCACCAGAGCUACAGGAAGCUCUACACAGAAAAGAUCCAUCUUUCAAAAAAAAAGGAUAAAUCACACUUGAGAGCAUUGUUAAUACAAGUUCUAUUUGACCACAUAACAAUGUA
Neoarius graeffei (lesser salmon catfish) is the source of this 473-nucleotide long non-coding RNA. RefSeq lists it as uncharacterized. Lineage: Eukaryota; Metazoa; Chordata; Actinopteri; Siluriformes; Ariidae. The record is from RefSeq and is a predicted model, not a curated record. The transcript is spliced from 3 exons.